GGGGCCGUCGUCUAGCCUGGUAGGAUGCCAGCCUGGGGAGCGGACCCCCAUGCCAGGCCGCCCGGAUCGCUGGUGGUCCGGGGUUCAAAUCCCCGCGGCCCCACCA
Molecule: transfer RNA, 106 nt
Filed under: uncultured Acidilobus sp. MG
Lineage: Archaea; Thermoproteati; Thermoproteota; Thermoprotei; Acidilobales; Acidilobaceae
Also listed under: 3 other names
Description: tRNA-Pro
Rfam family: tRNA
About the family: Transfer RNA (tRNA) molecules are approximately 80 nucleotides in length. Their secondary structure includes four short double-helical elements and three loops (D, anti-codon, and T loops). Further hydrogen bonds mediate the characteristic L-shaped molecular structure. tRNAs have two regions of fundamental functional importance: the anti-codon, which is responsible for specific mRNA codon recognition, and the 3' end, to which the tRNAs corresponding amino acid is attached (by aminoacyl-tRNA synthetases). tRNAs cope with the degeneracy of the genetic code in two manners: having more than one tRNA (with a specific anti-codon) for a particular amino acid; and 'wobble' base-pairing, i.e. permitting non-standard base-pairing at the 3rd anti-codon position.
Source: RNAcentral